CUCUAUCCCCAGCAGAGGCAGCGGAGAAGACAAGGCCGGGAGGCACCGGGCUAGGCUGCGCACCAGGCCCAGGCCUGUCCCUCGGGACCGCGCGUGCCGCCUGAAUCCGCUCCCCCGUCGGGCCCGGUCCAGCUGGCGCGGCGGCCACCCUCACCUGGAUGACCUCGUUGACCUCCCGGAUACAUUCCACCAUGUGUUGUAGAAUCUGCUCGGCCGUGAGCACCUCGUAGCGGUAAUCCUCCUCCUGCUCAUGCCCCGGCCCGCCACCACCACCGCCGCCGCCGCCGCCGCCGCCACCGCCGGGCCCCAGAGCGCUGCCGCCGCCACCGCCCGUCUCCCCGCACAGCAGUCCGUCCCGCUCCCCGCCGACGCCCAGCCCGGGCUCCACCAGCUCCACCUCGCCCAGAUCCAGGGUAUCAUCGUCCGGCUCGUCGUCGUCUUCGUCCUCCUCCUCCUCGGCGCCGCUGUCCUCCUCACUGCACUCCUCGUCCUCGUCGAACUCGUAGUUGUAGCCCUCGUCCGAGUCCAUGGCGCGACGCGCGGGGGCCCGGCGGACGCUGGCCGAGGCGGGGAGAGGGCGGGGACGCCGAGGCCCCGGCUCUCGCUCCGGCUCCGGCUGAUGUCCGGACGCAGGCCUGGCUCCGGCCCCGCGAGCCGCGGCUCCUCCCCAGGAGCGGCGGUUGGCGUUUGACGGCUGGUGGCGGCGGGGAGGGCGCGGAGGAGGGAGGGAGGGAGCGAGGGGGCCGCUUGCUGCCCGCCUCAGUCAGACGCGGCUCCGCUCCGGCCUCCGAGAGAAAACAGUCCCCAACGCCACCUCCACGGCCGCUGCUAUCGCUACUGAGCCAACAAAGGGGCGUGCGUCACCGCGUCGCGCUGCGUCGUCGCGUCACUCCUCUUUGCGUCACUGCGCCCCGCCCCACCGCCCCUGCGUGGAGCCCGGGGAGACCCCACGGCCCGGCCUUCCUGGGCCUGGGACCCGAGGGGAGCCGAGCGGGAAUUGCUUUCCUGGUUCGAUCCGCUGCCGCUGUGAGGGCCGAGCGGAAACCCGUAGACCUUUUAUGUGAAGAGAUUGCGGCCUCCUGGUCACCAGUCACCGAGAGAGGGACCCCUGGACCGCCUACGUGGUGGUGUCUGCCGCAGGCCAUAGGGAUCCAGCCCACUUAGGCAGUCCCUUGGGGACGCGGCCUUCCCUCCGGAGCGGAAAGGCGCUUCCCGCCCGCCCUGCGGUAAUCCCGGAAGCCCUCAGCCGUUAAGCUAAAAUUUCUGUUGCUUUGGCUACUGAUGGAAACCUGUUGUAAGUGGAACCUCUAAACUGUAUGACAGGUGAACCCAC
This 1333-nucleotide long non-coding RNA is filed under the name Homo sapiens (human). Its description in RNAcentral is "non-protein coding TMEM202-AS1:23". The record is from RNAcentral. Lineage: Eukaryota; Metazoa; Chordata; Mammalia; Primates; Hominidae.